GGUGGGGAUGACGUCAAGUCCUCAUGGCCUUAUGCUUAGGGCUACACACGUGCUACAAUGGUGGUACAAAGAGAAGCCAACUCGCGAGAGCGCGCCAAUCUCAAAAAGCCAUCCUCAGUUCGGAUUGGAGUCUGCAACUCGACUCCAUGAAGUUGGAAUCGCUAGUAAUCGCGGAUCAGCAUGCCGCGGUGAAUACGUUCCCGGGCCUU
This 209-nucleotide ribosomal RNA is filed under the name uncultured Smithella sp. Its description in RNAcentral is "partial 16S ribosomal RNA". It matches the Rfam family "Bacterial small subunit ribosomal RNA", at positions 1172 to 1382 of the family's 1533-position model. Lineage: Bacteria; Pseudomonadati; Thermodesulfobacteriota; Syntrophia; Syntrophales; Smithellaceae. The record is from RNAcentral.